Tupaia belangeri chinensis (Chinese tree shrew) is the source of this 2971-nucleotide long non-coding RNA. RefSeq lists it as uncharacterized. Lineage: Eukaryota; Metazoa; Chordata; Mammalia; Scandentia; Tupaiidae. The transcript is spliced from 2 exons. The record is from RefSeq and is a predicted model, not a curated record.
UCUUCAACACAUUUCUUUAAAUCUACAGAAUGGCAGACUUUUCUACCAGGUUAUAAGCGUUUUUGAAAUAAGUGAUACUUAGCCAGCGUAACUUACUGACUUACCAUUUAAGUAUAGUCAUCACUCUCUUACUGUGAAAUUCUAAAUGCCUACCAGAGUUACCUUGUAUUAUCAUCAUAUGAUAAACAUCUCAACAGUUUGGGUUUCCCUACUUUGGUUCAGAAAGUUAUUUAAUUUCUAUCUGGGCAUUAACAGAAAAAAUAAGUAGACUUUUGUGCUGCUUUAGAUGAGAACACGGAGGAUAUGAGAUAUCCUUUUUAAUUAAUGUUUUUCAUUUCUCUCAGCACAUUGUUCUAUAAAAACAUGCUCUUAACACGUUACCUUGACCUUUUGAUCAAUGUGAGUGGCAUGUGCUUUUUUCACUUAGGACUUACUCUCGCGUUUGAAGAUUAACAGAUCAUGUUAGAUCUAAAAGGCUUUUUUGAAAACUAAAUUCUUACUACACACAUAUUUCCUUUGGUUUGGAGAAUCUAAGUGGCUCUUCAGUGUUUUGGAUCUACAUUCAGAUGUGCUACUUGAUAAGAUACUUAUUUUUCAAGCUUGAUUUCUCAGCUGAUCAGAUGAAUUUAUUCAACUUCGAUACAAAGAAAGACAAACCUAUUGUAGUUUGAAGUGAGUAGAUAUACUGUACAGAACAGCUAACUAUUUGAACACACAUCACUGCUUUAGAAAUAAACCGCCAAUUUAUAAAUGUAUAUGACCUACAUUUUAUAGGAGAAAUGUUUUUAAAUGCUAGUCAUUUAUAUAAUGUGCUUUGAAGGAUUUGCUAGUCCACUUCUGUCACUUUUUAGUACACUGGUAUCUUUUAUAUGUAAUGUAUGCUUUUUAUUAUUGUAGCAGAGCAUUUCAGUAGAAAGAAUUUUGCAACAAUAUGGGGGAACUUUUUCAUUGUUGGAUUUGAAUUAUACUGGAUUUUAUCUGUGUAGUCUUACUUGUCUUUAUUUUAAUGCUGUCUGGAAGGGAACUUGGUAUCCAAAUAAAGCAGGUAACCUCAUUUUACUUCAAGGGCAUACUGUGUAGUGCUGAAUUUUAAUCUGGAAAUCUGAUGAUUUUAAAAAGAAAAACAAGUUUAUAAAAAUUGUACAGAAGAAAUUAAAUGUGUGAUGGAAAUCCUGAUGGUGGAGCACGUUGAAUUUUCUGAUAUAUAGUGUUAUUUUCCUGGGAUCCCCUAUGCCUUCUUUGUAUUUCAACUAAUAAAGGAAAAGCCCUGUCAUUGAAACUGGUAGGAUAUAGGAUAUUCUGAUUAUACAGUAUUACUUUUCCUAUCCAUUUUCUGACCUUUUCUCAAUCACUGUAAAAUUUUAUUUUCUAUUUCCUAUUGAUAAUUAAACAUGUACAUACUAUAGAUGCUGUUGUAUAGAACUGAAUGAAUUGGGUUGCUAUGCUUGAAUGGGGGGGGCUAAGUGGAAAUCGUUGGUGGAUACUGAGAAGUCACAGAAUGCCAGAGCAAAUUUACACGGGCAAGGGGGCAUCAUGUGUCCCGGGACAGCCACAGCAGAUCGCUUUUUCAGCCCCUUGGGAAAUGAGUGUGACGGAGUCAGCUGCAAACUCAGUGUCAGAGAACAAGAUGGGUCUUGCCUUCCCCCCCUCCAAAAAUAUGAGCACUAAAUUUCAAAAUCUACUCAGGUGAAAGUUGCUUUGCAAUGAAAUUUAUCACAUGGAAAUUUUCACUGUUAAAUAAGAUAUUUGUGAUAUUUUUAAAUACAAACUUUUACAUCAGUAGUUGGCAGCCUGAUAACUCAGAUUUGGUAAGUCAGUAUAUUUUAAAAUAUAUUUUGCCCUCCAAAUAGAAUUGUUUUUAAACAAUCAGGAGGCUAUUUUGUUUGUUUAAAUACAUUUUUAUUGUCAUUGUAAAAAUAAAACCUUGCUUGACCCCAUAUGCCAUGAAUGAGUUGCUGAGCCUUUGUAAUAAUUAUAGUAAGAGCUGGUUUCAUGCAGAGGCAUGGAACAUGGACGUGUUCUUUAAACAGACCUAUUCCUAAGAGGUUUGAUGGGUGUCACAGCUUUUGGCACUAUUGUCAUAUAGUUAACCUUGCCAUUUGUAGUUAAUUAUACCACUUUGUGUAUUGUCAUACUACAGGAAGUUGUCUUGCUUUAUUUUAAAUUGAAUUACUAGACUAACUUAUAUUUGCAAAUUCUGCAUUUUAAAUGUGGACACUGGCUGUUUGAAAAUAAAAAAUACAGAAUACAGUUUUAUGAAUAAUUUUCUAGCCGAGUCUUUCACAAAUUCUGAACCAAAUAACUAACGGUAAAUAUGCAAAAACCAUGGUGCAUAGACAGUUAAGGAGCGAAGAGUGUCUGUAUGGAGUAACAGUCUGUUACGCAAAUUGGGUAACAAUUGUCAGGACCUUUACUGUAGCUGUGUGUGGAAUGUUUGGUUUAGUAGUUCUAUAACGCAAGAGUCAAACGUUACUGUCAUUGGUAUUUUAGACUGAAAUAUGUUUAACAUAAAGCUAAGAGUGUGUGUGUUUCCCACAGAUUAGAUUCUCUUAGCCCAAUAUCAAGAGUGUAAGUGGGAUUUUUAUUUUAUUUUUUUCUCUUUCAUUCUUGGGAGCUACAUUUUUCAUCCAUCUGCCACUUUGCCAGUACCCUGUCUUGUGACCAGUGGGAUGCAUUGUAAGAAAGCUGUCUGCGGUUAGGGGUGCAGUUAGGAGUGCAGUGUGGGUCCAUGGAGCAACUUUAACCUAAUUGGUCCGUGCAGAGUUCAACCCUAGGACCCUGGCCUUAUUAGUAUGGUGCUUUAACCAAUUGUACAUAAUAAUGCCACUGAUAGUCUACUGAUGCAUUUCCUCAGUCCUUGUUUUUCUUGAAUAAUUAGGAAUGGUGGGGAGAGGGAUGGGGAGAUACUCUAUGUGGUACUUCUCCCACCUUCUGAAAACGAUAAGAAAAAAUAAAAUUGAAGUCACUUGAA